GCCUUCGUGGUGUAAUGGUCAGCACACUCGGCUCGUAUUCCAGAGGUUCAAGUCCCGGCGAGGGCA
RNAcentral lists this transfer RNA (66 nucleotides) under Stegodyphus mimosarum. It matches the Rfam family "tRNA". Rfam says of the family: Transfer RNA (tRNA) molecules are approximately 80 nucleotides in length. Their secondary structure includes four short double-helical elements and three loops (D, anti-codon, and T loops). Further hydrogen bonds mediate the characteristic L-shaped molecular structure. tRNAs have two regions of fundamental functional importance: the anti-codon, which is responsible for specific mRNA codon recognition, and the 3' end, to which the tRNAs corresponding amino acid is attached (by aminoacyl-tRNA synthetases). tRNAs cope with the degeneracy of the genetic code in two manners: having more than one tRNA (with a specific anti-codon) for a particular amino acid; and 'wobble' base-pairing, i.e. permitting non-standard base-pairing at the 3rd anti-codon position. Lineage: Eukaryota; Metazoa; Arthropoda; Arachnida; Araneae; Eresidae. The record is from Rfam by way of RNAcentral.